This 516-nucleotide long non-coding RNA is filed under the name Mytilus galloprovincialis (Mediterranean mussel). Lineage: Eukaryota; Metazoa; Mollusca; Bivalvia; Mytilida; Mytilidae. The record is from RNAcentral.
CUCAGUGUGUAAUUUCAAAUUCUCAGUGUGUGUUUUCAGUUUAUUUAUUCUCAGUGUGUCUUUUUGAAAUCUCAGUGUGUAAUUUUCAAUUCUCAGUGUGUAAUUUUCAAUUUUCAGUGUGUAAUUUUCAAUUCUCAGUGUGCAUUUUUCAUUUUUGUAAUCUCAGUGCGUCUUUAUGAAAUCUCAGUGUGUAAUUUUAAAUUCUCAGUGUGUAAUUUUCAAUUCUCAGUGUGUAAUUUUCAAUUCUCAGUGUGUAGUUUUCAAUUCUCAGUGUGUAAUUUUCAAUUCUCAGUGUGCGUUUUUCAUUUUUGUAAUCUUAGUGCGUCUUUAUGAAAUCUCAGUGUGUAAUUUUUAAUUCUCAGUGUGUAAUUUUCAAUUCUCAUUGUGUAAUUUUCAGUUCUCAGUGUGCGUUUUGAAGUUUUUAAAUCUCAGUGUGCUUUGUUGUAAUUCUCAGUGUGUAAAUUUUUCGAAAAAUGGUUUAAACAUAGUUUUGACGAGAACGGCUUGCCAUAGUAU